This 1468-nucleotide ribosomal RNA is filed under the name metagenome. RNAcentral describes it as "bacterial LSU rRNA". It matches the Rfam family "Bacterial large subunit ribosomal RNA", at positions 1461 to 2925 of the family's 2925-position model. The record is from RNAcentral.
GUGAUGGAGGGACGGCGUCCGGAAAGUGAGCGGUACGACUAGAAAUGUCCGUAGAUGUAGCUGAGGCGUGGGGUUGGCAAUCCGCUCCACAUUAAGUCAAGGCUAUGGCUCGAGAGCGUUUAAGAUCUCGAAGUCAUUGGAAGGACGUCCAAGAAAAACUUCUAAGCGUUAAAACGUAUCAAACCGUACUAAAACUGACACAGGUAGGUGAGAUGAGUAGUCUCAGGCGCUCGGGAGAACGGUGGUUAAGGAACUCUGCAAAAUGGCUCCGUAAGUUCGCGAUAAGGAGCGCCCCUGAUGGUUAACGCUUUUGGGGGCCACAGAAAAUCGGCACUAGCGACUGUUUAUCAAAAACACAGGACUCUGCGAACUCGUAAGAGGAUGUAUAGAGUCUGACGCCUGCCCGGUGUUGGUAGGUUAAGGAAGAGAGUUAGCAGCAAUGCGAAGCCCGCGACCGAAGCCCCAAUAAACGGCGGCCCUAACUAUGAGGGUCCUAAGGUAGCGAAGUUCCUUGUCGGGUAAGUUCCGACCUGCAUGAAAGGCGUAACGACUGGUGCACUGUCUCAACCACCGACCCGGUGAAAUUGUAGUUGUGGUGAAGAUGCCACAUACCCGCAGUUAGACGGAAAGACCCCAUGAACCUUCACUGUAGGCUGAUAUUGGGUUGAGGUAUGUUUUGUGCAGAAUAGCUGGGAGGCUGUGAACUGGGAGCGCUAGCUCUCAGGGAGCCAACGUUGAGAUACCAGCCUGAGCAUGCUUUAAUUCUAACUUUGUCCCGUGAAUCCGGGCUUAGGACAUUGUCAGUUGGGCAGUUUGACUGGGGCGGUCUCCUCCUAAAAAGUAACGGAGGAGCGCAAUGGUACCCUCAGCCUGGUCGGCAAUCAGGCAAAGAGCGUAAAGGUAUAAGGGUGCUUGACUGUGAGACAAAUAAGUCGAACAGGUACGAAAGUAGGUCUUAGUGAUCCGGUAAUUCCGAAUGGAAGGGUUAUCGCUCAUCAGAUAAAAGGUACUCUGGGGAUAACAGGCUUAUCGCCACCGAGCGUCCACAGCGGCGAGGCGGUUUGGCACCUCGAUGUCGGCUCAUCGCAUCCUGGGGGUGAAGAAGCUCCCAAGGGUUUGGCUGUUCGCCAAUGAAAGCGGUACGUGAGCUGGGUUCAGACCGUCGUGAGACAGGUCGGUCCCUAUCUGCUGCGGGCGCACGAAACUUGAGGAGGUUCAACUUUAGUACGAGAGGAUUUGGUUGGACGUAGCUCUGGUGUACCAGUUGUCACGCUAGUGGCAUGGCUGGAUAGCUAACUACGGAAAGGAUAAACGCUGAAAGCAUCUAAGCGUGAAGCCCUCUCCAAGAUUAGGUUUCGUAGCUCAAUCGAGUGAAAGUCCCCUUGUAGAUGACGAGGUUGAUAGGCCAGAUGUGUAAUUACCGUAAGGUAUUCAGCUAACUGGUACUAAUGGACGAAAGCUUGACCAU